UACGGAGGGUGCGAGCGUUGUCCGGAAUUACUGGGCGUAAAGGGCGCGUAGGCGGCCUUCUAAGUCGAACGUGAAAUCCCCGGGCUCAACCCGGGAACUGCGUCCGAUACUGGGAGGCUUGAAUCCGGGAGAGGGAUGUGGAAUUCCAGGUGUAGCGGUGAAAUGCGUAGAUAUCAGGAGGAACACCGGUGGCGAAGGCGGGUCUCUGGGCCGAUACUGACGCUGAGGAGCGAAAGCGUGGGGAGCGAACAGG
Molecule: ribosomal RNA, 253 nt
Filed under: uncultured bacterium
Lineage: Bacteria
Description: partial 16S ribosomal RNA
Rfam family: Bacterial small subunit ribosomal RNA
Source: RNAcentral